Tyto alba (common barn owl) is the source of this 3996-nucleotide long non-coding RNA. RefSeq lists it as uncharacterized. NCBI's taxonomy places the organism in Eukaryota, Metazoa, Chordata, Aves, Strigiformes, Tytonidae. The transcript is spliced from 3 exons. The record is from RefSeq and is a predicted model, not a curated record.
CCGGCCUGAGGGGUGCUGGGGCCCGGCCCGGCCCGGCCGCCGUUUGCCGCCGGCGAGGCCCCUCCGUCGGCCGCCAUCAGCUUACCAGAGCGGGCUGCGGGGCUGGAGCGCAGCUGGGAGCGGUGGGAAGCACCCGGGAUUCCCUUUCCCGCCGGCGUGUCUUCGUGUGAGGAGACUGGCGGGAAGCUCGUCAGCUCUGCGGCCUCCACAGGAGUGGCUGGACCAAAAACGCUUUCCAUGGACAGAAGUGUUCUGGAAGUUUUAAGCCUGUCCAGCGCCAAUUGAUGCAGAGCUGGAACCCUGGAUUGGUACUUCGGGAUGGGCAAGCUUUAAGCUGCUACUGAAACUGGGGCUGUGAGGGAGACCCACUCUUGGUCCUCAUUUUACCACAGAAUUACAGAAUUUGGUUCUUGUAAAGGGAACAAACGAUCUCUUAAUCUACGACCUCUGCCACAUGGUAAGGCAGGGGGAAACAUGUGGUCUAGCUUCAGUGUUCAAGGAUAUUGACUCAUCUCUGGGUAGCUCCUUCAAGUGCAGUGAAGUUGUGACACAAGAUGAAAAAAUACUUUAGUUGGGAAAAAAUUGAAGCUUUGUGAACUUGGUUGUGCAACAUCCAGUUUAAACAAUACAUUUUUCUAAAUGGUUGGAUGUUUUAUUUAUAGGUUUGUCAAAUAAUACAUAACACAGAUGAAAAGACGAAAUGAAUAGAAAACAAAUGGCAGCUUUGUUCUGAGAAAUUUAUUAAAGCACUUAGAUGGGAAAACUGAUCAGACUUUUGUUUGUUUUUUAAAUACAGUCUGUGUUUAAGGCCCUGCUUACUUAGUAAUAUUUGGAACUAGAAAUCUACAAAUAAAGUGUACAAUGUGUCAGUACUGUAGUAAAAUUCUAAGAAUAUUAUUUUUAAAUACCUGCAGAGUUAGAUUAUUAGUUCAAACAUGAAAAAAGUAAAUGAAUAAAAACAAGAGGAAACUUUUAACAUGAAUGAUUUAUUGUUCACAAGUAUUUUGGAUUUAGAAACAGGUUUUUUUGAUUACUUGGAUUGUCUUUUGUGCAAGUACAAGCAUAUAUGAACAUAUCGGGGAUUAUCUCCGUGCAUAAGUGACAGUAGAAUCAGAACUCAACUUUGUGAAAUGGCUAAAUAGGGAAUGGCUGCCAUCGAUACAGUGGUUUCAUUAGUGCUCACUGUAAUGAUCCCCAGGUUACACAGCUCAAAACCAAAAAACUAACCUAACAAAGCAAUGAGAUAAGUGUUAAGAAGUCAUAAAUCUACUCAGAUGCUUUUCUGUUUUCCUUUAAAAGCAGCACUGCACCUUUAUAUUUUGUACUAGAAAAAUACUGGAAGCUGCAAUAGAUGCAAGAAACGUUAUUGACAAAAAAUAGUUUUUCUACUAAUACCAAUGAAGACAGAAGUAUUUAUAACUUUGUAUACAUUCCAUUUAUAUUAAGUAGUCCUAAAGUAGUUACAAUGCAUUGCAAUUGUUUUACUGUAACAAAUAAAUUCACUUAGACUUUUUAUAUAAUGUUGUGAAAAGGAAGUGUUUUAACUUGCACUAAUAGACCUGUGUCUGAAAGUAUAUUUUAUAAUCUCAGUUUUCAAAACAAUAUGUUUUGAGUAAUUUUGAAUAAUCACUUUCCUGCUGUUUCUGCAGUUUAUUUAUACACCACUGGGAGAGGUACAAACAGCUGAGACAGCUGGCAAAAUGACAUCCCAAAACACAGUAAAUAGAUACAGAAGCAAAAAUAAUCCAUUCUAAAAUGAUUACACUGAAAUGGUUCCACUGAAAAUUAGUGGCAUCUCUUUCACGUAGAUAUAUAAAUCUUUGUACAGAUGCAUAAAUGUGUACUGGGCACGGCAAAAAAGCUUCCGGCUAAUGAAAAUGGAAGAAUAUAAAAUUUUUGUUUAAUUCGAGCUGCUGUGAAGCUGCUUUGUGAAGUAUGCUACCACUUUUUAAUUAAAUUGGAUUUGCUAAUUUUUGCUAACGUAAGAGCUGUAUUCAGAUGCUUUCUUUGUUCCCAUUUUAAUACAUCUCAAAGUUUCUCCUCAAAUUAUUCUUUUCCAAAUCUUAGUUUGUUACUAGUAUGUUCAAGUAAGAUUUUUAUAAUGGGUUGAGAAUGUAGAUGCAUUAAUUUCGUGUCCUUUUAUGAUUCAGUUCGUGUGAGUAUAAAAAAGAAGUCCAAAGAGAAGCAAAUGGUGAAGUUAAGACAUUUCAGCCUUUUAAUUAAUUUAUAAACCACUCUCACCUGCUACCACUUGAAAUCCAUAAGCAAGAGCCCUUCACUGAUACACACGGAGGGUGCAGAUGGGAACAGGGGAGAAAGGUUUGGCAGACUGCAUGCAUCUCGUUUAUUAAACAAAGACAGUUACAGUGCGUACAUUGUGGACAGAGUUUAGGGUUGGUUUGUUUGUUUUUCCUUCACCACUAAGUGUCUGUAGGCCUCUCUUAGGAGAACAGACUUACACAAGCAAGAUGUCCGUACAUGUAUUGGUGUACAUAGGUUAGUAUAAUAAAUCUUCUCCCCAUCAUUUUUGUUGCUCUGCUUAGCAUAGAUGUUAUAUAAAUCCAAAGAUAACAAAGCUCUUUCUGAGGAGAAUGACUCUAUAAUCUGGACCAACUCCUUAGCUGAUACAGCCAUCUUUGUUGAUGCCUCCACUCUGGGGAAGCUUUUGUAGGGGGUUCCACUUGUCCAUAUGCAAAUCAAGUACUUCUCAUAAAUUAGGUUUACUUACUGACGAGGGAGGAGCUAUUUACUUUGCUGUCUUUCUCAUUGUUUUAAAGGCACUGUCUUGUGACAGAGUCAGCAGAGAGCUGCUCAGGAGUGACAGCUUUUCUCAGUUACCUGAAUUGCAGAGCCACUGCAGUGGCAGGGAGAGGCAAGACUCUCAUUCAAGUAGCAUUUCCAGUAAGAGUUUGGGUAGUUCAUGGAAUGUAAGCGAUAGGACUGGGAAACAUUAUGAUACGGUUAAGGAUGGAUGAAAGAAAAGACAUUGACACAGAGGCUUGUAGGGACCCUGAAAACAUAAAGAAUAGAUGAGGCUGAUGAAGAAAACAGUGGUGCCCUUGUGAGAAGAGAAGGGUGGGACAAAGGGAAAGCUGUUUUUAAGAUGCUCCACAUGAAGUAGGCUAAUGCACUUUCUCGGGUGCGGGGGACCAAGGUAUGGUGUAGCGCUAUGAAGAGUAGAUGCUGUAGGCCUAAAAAGAUUUUUGGUCUGGUCAGAGAAGACAUUUUAAGGAGAGUCUUAAACUUUAGAGCCCUUCAGUUAAAUUCUGAAAACAUGUAGCUUUUCAAUAGCGUGCACGCAGCUGACAGUUGCGGGAAGCUGUAAAGAUUUGCAAAUAGCCUCUAGAAUCAUGUUUAACAUUUUAGCAAAUACAGAAUGUACACCCAUUUUCCUGGAACGCUCAGACCUUCUCUUGCAAUUCCUGAUGAGGAACUAUAAAAAGCAUUAAGCAUGCCUAUUUAUGUACAAUCACUUGCUUUGGAGCCAGAUUUUGCCACAAACACCCCCCCACACACACACACCUAUGUCUUAAAGGACCCACUAAGCGUGAUUUGCAUCUAAAAUUGUGUCUGACGUCUCACCUUAGUCAUCAUUUCUUCAUUCUAAAGCCAUAACCUCACCUCUUGCCCUCAUUUUUAGAGAAUGUUUCCUUCUAUAAUAUUUUCAUACCUGUUCCUGACUCUGAACUCACUGGAGUUGCUCCUAACACUGCUUUUUAUUUCAACUCAGGAAGCCGCAUACAGGAGCAACAGGGAUGGCUAUUUCUGGCAAAGUGCCUGCUACACAUGAGCACGAUGGACACGUGAGAGGUUUCCCUGGAUACAUCUGAAUGGCUAGAUGCACUCUGGAGGUAUUAGACAGUCAAAAAAACGUAAGCAUGUUUCAAGCAGCGGUUCUACCAGUUCUCCAUAUAAAAAGCAAACACUGGUGUGUACAACACUUGAAGAAUUGCUUGUCCACCAGAGGGGCAGGGGAUACACAAGAGGGUUCUGGCC